Molecule: RNA transcript, 4036 nt
Organism: Cyprinodon variegatus (sheepshead minnow)
Lineage: Eukaryota; Metazoa; Chordata; Actinopteri; Cyprinodontiformes; Cyprinodontidae
Gene name: disintegrin and metalloproteinase domain-containing protein 11-like
Exons: 26
Source: RefSeq, a predicted model, not a curated record
CUGCUCCACCUCCUCUCUGUAGUUCUGGUCGUUGUCGUCUCCGAUGAGGCCCACCACCGUGGCUUCAAUCACCAUGUGAUUGUUGGUGAACCUGGGGACGCAGUCAUAUGUCAUCAGGGUGAACAGCAGGGGGGUCAGGACGCAGCCCUGAGGGGAGCCUGUGCUUAGGAUGAUGACAUCAGAGGCGUUCUGUCAAGCAGCCAGUUGCAGAGGGGUGUAUUGAAGCCCAGCUGUUCCAGUUUGCCCAUCAGAUGCUGUGGGAUGAUGGUGUUUAAAGCAAAACUGAAGUCCAGGAACAGAAUCCGCUCGUGGGUGCUCUUCUUUUUACUUACAACAUACUUUCCAUUAAGUUUGGAUGUAAUUCUCUGUGAACAGCAGGCUCCUUUGACAUUUUGGGCCUCACUCUGUUCAUGUUGAAGGUACUGGUGACUAUGUAACCAACUGUCAGCCAUCCUCCUUAUAUUUGUGUGCAGCUUUGAUCAUUUAUGUUAAAGAAAAGAAAAUUUUAUGUAAUAUUGGUAGGAAAAAGUAAAAUCAGCUGUCAUCAAAUCAGCCUGUUAACAAAGAAACAAAGUGACAGCAAUGAGUCAGGGUUGUUUUUGGCUGACAGGACACACCUUAAUCCUCUGCAGACCUGAAACCUUUUCCAAAGCGCAGAUUAAAUAUCUUUUCCCCCUCCUGCUUAUAGCCUCGCACUGACAAACGGAAUCAACCUGUCAUUCGCUGAUCUCCUUCCUUCUGUUUCGGCCGGGCGUGCUCUUCAUCCGACGGACUGCCGCAUCCUCUUCCUGCGCAGCGCUGCAUGGCAACGGGAGGAGGAGGCUGCGCGGGAUGAGGGAGGGUACCGCGGCCCCACGUGUCCUCCUCGCCGCAGACCCGCUCGCUUUCCCAUCCCUCCGUUUCCGCAUACCGCACACACACAUACACAGCUCCUGCCUUACACCCAGAGCCUACUACGCAUCCUUGCAGCGCUGCGGAGCGAUGCGUCCGCGAUGCGCGCUCUCUCCUUCCUCGCCGAUCCCAUCACCGAUCAGUCUGUAGGCCCGGAUCGAUUCAUGGUUCUUCUUUUUGAUAUGCAAAUUCUGACUUUCCGUUGCGGCGCUGGUCGGAGCUGAGAGGGCGAGAGGUAGAGAGGAGGGAGAGAUGAGAGGACGCGCAUCAUCAGAUGUUUAGCAGAUUAACUUUGGAUCCUCGCCAUCAUCUCUGCUGUGCGUUUUUGGAUCUUUGUCCUCCUCUCCACCUGCCGGGGGGUUGUUGAAGUUUGGCGGGGUUCUCAAUGCGGUAAUCAGGGGGAAUAUGUGAAGAUCAUGCUGGUGGUGUGGUGCUUCAUGGUCUUUGGUGCAGUGGGCGAGAGGCUUGCGGUGGCAGGUGCAGGUGGAGGUUUGUGGGACUGGUUUGCCCCCUCAGGCCAGCAGGAUAAUGGGGACACUGAGAUCACCUAUCCCAAACGCCUGGUGCAGCAGAUCAAGUCAGAGGAGGAAAUGGCUCAUGGCUUCUUGGAUACCAGGGUAAAGAAUAGCAGUGGGGGCAGCUUGCCUGUCCACCUGGCCCUGAGCUGUUUUCAAGUCGAAGCCUUCGGACACACCUUCACUCUUGACCUAGAACUAAACCAUCACCUGCUGUCUUCAGAUUAUGUGGAGAGGCACUUUAACUACAAUGGCAAACCCUUGCAGUCUAUGGGAGGAGAGCACUGCUACUACCAGGGAAGGCUAAGAGGUUUACCAGACUCCUGGGCAGCUGUCUCUACGUGUCACGGCCUGUGUGGCAUGUUCUCUGAUGGUUUCUACUCUUAUGGAAUUGAGCCUGUUCACAAUGCAAGCAAUGAGGAGGAUGGAGCUCAUUUAAUCCGCAGGAUGCCUGAUAUCAGACUUUCCCAGCACUGUCUAGAGUGUACAGAGAAUAAUGAGAAGGACGGCAGUGAAAGUGUUGAAGACGACAGCAAACCAGACCUCAAUCAGGAUCAGCAGGUGACUGGGGGGCUGAGGAGAUCCAAAAGGUUUGCCCGCAGGCCCUCUGUUCAGAUGGAGACCAAAUACAUUGAGCUGAUGGUGGUAAAUGAUUACGAUUUGUUUGUGCAGCUGCGUCGUUCGAGCAGCCAAACCAAAAACUUUGCCAAAGCUGUAGUCAACACAGCAGACACGAUCUUUCAGGAGCAGCUGAACACCAGGAUUGUUUUGGUAGCCAUGGAAACCUGGACCUCAGAAAACCUGAUGCCGGUGAUGGAGGACCCGCUGAUUACGCUGCAGAACUUCAUGAAGUACAGGAAGGACAGCAUCAGGGAGCAGAGUGACGUUGUUCAGCUUUUCUCAGGACGUACAUUUCACAGUAGCCGCAGUGGGACCGCCUACACAGGAGGGGUGUGUUCUCCAACAAAAGGAGGAGGAAUCAAUGAGUAUGGUAGUGUCGGGGCAAUGGCCAUCACUUUGUGUCAAAGCCUUGGCCAGAACAUUGGGAUGAGAUGGAACAACGCGCGGACCUCAGCAAGUGAGUGCAGAUGCCCAGAUGCCUGGGUAGGAUGCAUAAUGGAAGACACUGGAUAUUAUCUGCCCAGAAAGUUUUCUCGCUGUAGUGUUGACGAGUACAUCCAGUUCUUGCUCCAGGGGGGUGGCAGCUGCCUCUUUAACAAACCCAAUAAGCUGUUGGAUCCUCCUGAGUGCGGAAACGGCUUUGUGGAGCCAGGAGAAGAGUGUGACUGUGGAUCUCAGGUGGAGUGCGCCCGCAGGGGGGGAUCCUGCUGCAAAAAGUGUACCCUUACCCAUGAUGCCAUGUGCAGUAAUGGACUCUGCUGCAGUGGCUGUAAAUAUCAGCUGAGAGGUGUUGUUUGUCGAGAGGCCGUGAACGACUGUGAUAUUUCUGAAACCUGCACAGGAGACUCCAGCCAGUGCCCUCAUAAUGUCCACAAACUGGAUGGAUACAUGUGUGAUAACAGCCAGGGGCGCUGUUAUGGCGGACGCUGCAGGACUCGUGAUGGACAAUGCAAAGGACUCUGGGGUUAUAAUUCAGCAGACAGGUUCUGUUAUGAGAAGCUGAAUGCUGAAGGGACCGAGAAGGGAAACUGUGGCCGUGGGCCUGGAGGGAAAGGCUGGCUUCAGUGCAACAAGCCGGAUGUACUAUGUGGCUUCCUUUUCUGUGCAAAUGUCACAACAAAGCCAAAAUUUGGUGACCUGCAAGGUGAGGUGACAAGCUUCACCCUCUAUCAUCAGAACAAGUACCUGGACUGCAGAGGCGGCCAUGCUUUGCUAGAGGACGGCUCAGACAUGGGCUACGUCGAGGAUGGCACGCCCUGCGGUCCCAACAUGAUGUGUUUGGAAAGACGCUGCCUCCCUGUCUCAGCCUUUAACCUCAGCGUCUGUUCAGGAUCGAAAUUUGGACACAUUUGCUCCGACCAUGGGACCUGCAGCAAUGAGGUGAAGUGUAUCUGCGACAGGGACUACACAGGAAAGGACUGCAGUGUUUUCGAUCCCAUCCCUGAGCCCACAGUCCCAACCGGCCCGGAGAAAAAAGUCUGCCAAUGAGAGAGAAUUUAAGCAGCUGCUCUUUUAGGGCCAAAGCAGCCACCCUGAGAAAAGAGGGUGUCCAGCUGAGAGAGCAGGAGAGAGGGAAAUGAUAAGAAAGUAAUGCAAUUCUCUCUCCCUUUUCUUUGUGUACCUGUUGUCCCCUUUGACCUGCCUUACGUUGCUCAUCUGCCACCCAACGUGAUGCAACCCCUCCCUUCAUCUCUCUGUCUCUAUCUGCAGGUAUCCCACCAUCUGCCUCUCUUUCUCUAGUUGAUGUCGUUGACGUACCGUGUUGAUGCUGUCUUAUGACGUGUGUUUUUUAGUGGUGUUGUUUUGUUUCUGCCCCUCCUCUUCCUCCGCACCCUUCCUCCUCCCCUCCUUCCUCUGUGCAGGUCCCAGUGGCACCAAUAUCAUAAUAGGGUCCAUCGCAGGUGCUAUUCUCCUGGCAGCUAUAGUCCUAGGGGGAACAGGAUGGGGAUUUAAGAACAUUCGAAGAGGAAGAUCUGGAGGAGGAUAAGAUCACACUCUGUCCCUCUGUC